This 443-nucleotide ribosomal RNA is filed under the name uncultured bacterium. RNAcentral describes it as "partial 16S ribosomal RNA". It matches the Rfam family "Bacterial small subunit ribosomal RNA", at positions 338 to 795 of the family's 1533-position model. The record is from RNAcentral.
CCUACGGGAGGCAGCAGUGGGGAAUAUUGGGCAAUGGGCGCAAGCCUGACCCAGCAACGCCGCGUGAAGGAAGAAGGCUUUCGGGUUGUAAACUUCUUUUGUCAGGGACGAAGCAAGUGACGGUACCGGACGAAUAAGCCACGGCUAACUACGGGCCAGCAGCCGCGGUAAUACGUAGGUGGCAAGCGUUAUCCGGAUUGAUUGGGUUGAAAGGGCGUGUAGGUGGGAAUGCAAGUCAGAUGUGAAAACUAUGGGCUCAACCCAUAGACUGCAUUUGAAACUGUAUUUCUUGAGUGCAGGAGAGGCAAUCGGAAUUCCGUGUGUAGCGGUGAAAUGCGUAGAUAUAAGGAGGAACACCAGUGGCGAAGGCGGAUUGCUGGACAGUAACUGACGCUGAGGCGCGAAAGUGUGGGGAGCAAACAGGAUUAGAUACCCCGGUAGUC